CCUACGGGGGGCUGCAGUGGGGAAUAUUGGGCAAUGGGCGAAAGCCUGACCCAGCAACGCCGCGUGAAGGAAGAAGGCUUUCGGGUUGUAAACUUCUUUUGACAGGGAAGAGCAGAAGACGGUACCUGUCGAAUAAGCCAUGGCUAACUACGUGCCAGCAGCCGCGGUAAUACGUAGGUGGCAAGCGUUGCCCGGAUUUACUGGGUGUAAAGGGCGUGUAGUCGGGCUGACAAGUCAGAUGUGAAAGCCGGGGGCUCAACCCCCGAACUGCAGUUGAAACUGUUGGUCUUGAGUAUCGGAGAGGCAGGCGGAAUUCCUGGUGUAGCGGUGAAAUGCGUAGAUAUUAGGAAGAACACCGAUGGCGAAGGCAGCCUACUGGACGGCUACUGACGGUGAGGCGCGAAGGCGUGGGGAGCAAACAGGAUUAGAUACCCGAGUAGUC
Molecule: ribosomal RNA, 442 nt
Filed under: uncultured bacterium
Lineage: Bacteria
Description: partial 16S ribosomal RNA
Rfam family: Bacterial small subunit ribosomal RNA
Source: RNAcentral